This 483-nucleotide ribosomal RNA is filed under the name uncultured bacterium. Its description in RNAcentral is "bacterial SSU rRNA". It matches the Rfam family "Bacterial small subunit ribosomal RNA", at positions 30 to 507 of the family's 1533-position model. The record is from RNAcentral.
UUGAACGCUGGCGGCAUGCCUUACACAUGCAAGUCGAACGGCAGGCACGGGAGCAAUCCUGGUGGCGAGUGGCGAACGGGUGAGUAAUAUAUCGGAACGUGCCCGGUCGUGGGGGAUAACGUAGCGAAAGCUACGCUAAUACCGCGUACGAUCUACGGAUGAAAGCGGGGGAUCGCAAGACCUCGCGCGAUUGGAGCGGCCGAUAUCAGAUUAGGUAGUUGGUGAGGUAAAGGCUCACCAAGCCGACGAUCUGUAGCUGGUCUGAGAGGACGACCAGCCACACUGGGACUGAGACACGGCCCAGACUCCUACGGGAGGCAGCAGUGGGGAAUUUUGGACAAUGGGCGCAAGCCUGAUCCAGCAAUGCCGCGUGCAGGAUGAAGGCCUUCGGGUUGUAAACUGCUUUGUACGGAACGAAACGGUGAGCUCUAAUACAGUUUGCUAAUGACGGUACCGUAAGAAUAAGCACCGGCUAACUACGUG